AAGAAGUGAUCGAUCUGGAUUUAUUGCAGAAGAGGUAGAGAGAGAGAGAGAGAGGAAAGAAGAAGUGAUCGAUCUGGAUUUAUUGCAGAAGAGGUAGAGAGAGAGAGAGAGAGGUAUCUGCGUCUGGAAUAGUUGCAGUCUUUGUAAAGUCUGAGGCAUUCAAAUAGAAAAGGGAAGAAGGGAAAUCAGUUUCAUCUUGAAUUUCAUAGAUUUUGAAGAAAUUUUAUAAGCAGUGUGAUCCUGCAAAGCGCGGGGAAGUUUUCUAGUUAUUAUACAUACAUCUAAAGCCCGUGACUGUUCAUACUGUUCAUUUAACAGUAAAAUGCCGGUUCUGCCCUUGCUUUUUCUCACAAUUUCACACUGCCAUUGACCAAGGUAUACUAGAUGUUUCCAUCGGUUUCUUGACUUUCUUCUUUCUUCUACGGACUGUUUCUUUUGUUCUCACUGCACUCCCUCUGCUCCCAUCCCGGCGAUUUCUGUUCGGUAUUCACCUUGAGCCGACGUCAUCACUAGCGUGGUGCUUCAAUCGAUUUCUCAAGUUUGAGACUUUGUGCAUGUGUAUAAUUUGGCUCAGUCUCAAUUGGUGCUUGGAUAUGGUGUGAGGCUAGCCAAAUUGGCUCAGCAUGUUACCAAUUUGUUCAUAUUUUGCCUCUCUCUUUGCUAAAACGAAAUGUUGAUGGGCGUUAUUUUAUUGAAAGAGUAGGUCUACUGCUUGCCUUCUCAAUUUUGGUGGCUAAGUGGGAUGAGUGUUGGUUCAGGGAGAACGAGUAGAAAGAAAGCCAUCCUUGACAGCCGCAGAGAGAGAGAGAGAGAGAGAGAGAGAGAGAGAGAGAGAUAUUCAAGAAGCAAAAAUCUGGGUUGCUCUUCUCAAUCAAAUUGUCAAGGCAUUAGAAACAUUCAAAGGCAGUAGGCAGUACAACCUCAUUAAAAUUGGGGACUUAUGCUCAAAAUAUGUGAUCCAUAUGGAGGAAUGUGUUAGAUGGUUAGAACAUGGAGAAGACUGUAAAAGUACUUGGGCUCCCUCCCCUUUGUGAACUAGAUAACUUCAUUUGAUUACUAUUAGUUGUUAGUUCAGUUAGAAAGCAAUUGAUAAUUGUUAUACAACUUGAACGAAGUGAUACUACCCGCAGCAAAGUGCGGGAUUUCUAACUAGUAAAUAUACUAAAGCCCCUAGAGCUAGCACUGUUCAUAGCCCUGUUUAACUUCAAGGACGGUUUUGCCCCUUUUUUUCUGGUAAUUUACGACUUGCCAUUGAAGAUCUGUAUUUUUCUAAAGGACGGUGGUCAGACCUAAAACAAUUUGGGCUUAUCAGUAGGCCAUUGCAGGGAUUUUUUUUUUUUUUUCUGCGCGAUAGAAGAGUUCUGGUCAGACCAAAAACAAAACGAAGAAAAAGAAAAGAAGUGAUUGUCGUGUUUGAGCAGGAAGCAAGAGAAGGGUCCCUGGUUUUGUUUUGAUAAGAUCGACUUUGUAGCUUGAGUGGGUGCAGCUGUGAGGAAGAAGAAGACCUGCGCUAGCUGCUAUAUCCUUUCAGUAUAUAGGCGAAUCGAGCUUCAUCUUCGCUGUUCUGUGUGAUCAAAUUUUGCCGUCGACGUCAACCUUGGUGGGAUUUUAAUUAGUGCUUUGCGUUUUGAGUGGUUUGAGUUUAUGACGGGAAGAUUGGUUUGAAAACAAAUAGAGUAGAUGUGAAGGAACUCAGGAAGUAUGAGUUUUAAAAUUGAAGCUGAAGCAGCAGAGGAUAAGGGGUCAAGGCACAUCAUGAUAAUUGGUUUUGUUUAUUAUGCUCACUGUUUAGGUCUGAAAUAGUAUUGUGAAUGAAGUAUUGUUGGGAGGUGUUUCGUAAAGUUUCGAAAUUUGAAUGUUAAGGUGUGCAGAUUUUGCAAUUCAUGAUGAGCAUGGAGGUUGAUUAGCUGCAGAAUAUGCUAAGAAGGAUUUGCAUACAUGUGAGUUGCAUUACCAUUUGAUUGAGAAAGCAGCCGAGAAAGCCAUUCUGCAUGGGGCUAUGGUUGGUUGCUUCUUAUGAAUUAGCUAGCCUAAAGCAUUUUUUAGUGGAUAAAUAAGUGGAUGGUGCACUUCAGCAACUCAGCUUCAACAUUCUUCGAUAGCUUCUGCAAUGACCAUAAAAUUCCUACAAGAUCUACAUAGAUUGGAAGCAGUUCUAUAUGUUUCAAGAGUACAUCAACACAAUUAAUGAUCUGUAAUAGUUCUGUAUCAAUGUUCACACCUCACAGGAUUGUAGUUACAGUUGCCACUAAUUUUGGAGUGAAACCUACUUUUGCUCUUUGGGUUUAACAUAAACAUACUACUACGCCUACUACGUAACAUUAAAAGAUCAAUUGUAUUACAACUUUAACUAUCAUAUAGCAAUGAUUCCCGCAGCAAAGCGCGGGCUUACUUUCUA
Molecule: long non-coding RNA, 2398 nt
Organism: Rosa rugosa (rugosa rose)
Lineage: Eukaryota; Viridiplantae; Streptophyta; Magnoliopsida; Rosales; Rosaceae
Exons: 13
Source: RefSeq, a predicted model, not a curated record